RNAcentral lists this ribosomal RNA (497 nucleotides) under uncultured bacterium. RNAcentral's name for it is "partial 16S ribosomal RNA". It matches the Rfam family "Bacterial small subunit ribosomal RNA", at positions 28 to 507 of the family's 1533-position model. The record is from RNAcentral.
GAUGAACGCUGGCGGUGUGCCUAAUACAUGCAAGUCGAGCGAACGGACGAUAAGCUUGCUUCUCUGCUGUUAGCGGCUGACGGGUGAGUAACACAUGCAUAACCUACCUAUAAUACUUGGAUAACUUCGGGAAACCGGAUCUAAUACUGGCUAAUAUUUUGAACAGCAUGUUUCAAAAGUGAAUGACGGUCUUGCUGUUUCUUUUAGAUGUAUUCGCGCUGCAUUAGCUAGUUGGUAAGGUAACGGCUUACCAAGGCAACGGUACGUAGCCGACCUGAGAGGGUGAUCGGCCACACUGGAACUGAGACACGGUCCAGACUCCUACGGGAGGCAGCAGUAGGGAAUCUUCAACAAUGGGCGGAAGCCUGACGGAGCAAUGCCGCGUGAGUGAAGAAGGUCUUCGGAUCGUAAAACUCUGUUAUUAGGGAAGAAAAUAUGUGUGAGUAUAUGUGCACAUCUUGACGGUACCUAAUCAGUAAGCCACGGCUAACUACGUG